GUGCUCGCUUUGGCAACACAUAUACUAAAAUUGGAAUAAUACAGAGAUUAGUGUGGUCCCUGCACAAGGAUGACACACAAGUUUGUGAAGCAUUCUAUAUAUAU
RNAcentral lists this small nuclear RNA (104 nucleotides) under Ovis aries (sheep). The record is from RNAcentral. Lineage: Eukaryota; Metazoa; Chordata; Mammalia; Artiodactyla; Bovidae.